CCUACGGGAGGCAGCAGUGAGGAAUAUUGGUCAAUGGCCGAGAGGCUGAACCAGCCAAGUAGCGUGAAGGAUGACUGCCCUAUGGGUUGUAAACUUCUUUUAUAAAGGAAUAAAACGAGGCACGUGUGCCUUAUUGCGAGUACUUUAUGAAUAAGCAUCGGCUAACUCCGUGCCAGCAGCCGCGGUAAUACGGAGGAUCCGAGCGUUAUCCGGAUUUAUUGGGUUUAAAGGGUGCGUAGAUGGGUUGUUAAGUCAGUUGUGAAAGUUUGCGGCUCAACCGUAAAAUUGCAAUUGAUACUGGCAGUCUUGAGUACAGUUGAGGUAAGCGGAAUGCGUGGUGUAGCGGUGAAAUGCAUAGAUAUCACGAAGAACCCCGAUUGCGAAGGCAGCUUACUAAACUGUGACUGACAUUGAUGCUCGAAAGUGUGGAUAUCAAACAGGAUUAGAUACCCUUGUAGUC
RNAcentral lists this ribosomal RNA (460 nucleotides) under uncultured bacterium. RNAcentral describes it as "partial 16S ribosomal RNA". It matches the Rfam family "Bacterial small subunit ribosomal RNA", at positions 338 to 795 of the family's 1533-position model. The record is from RNAcentral.